RNAcentral lists this ribosomal RNA (918 nucleotides) under uncultured Halobacteria archaeon. RNAcentral describes it as "bacterial SSU rRNA". It matches the Rfam family "Archaeal small subunit ribosomal RNA", at positions 376 to 1291 of the family's 1478-position model. Lineage: Archaea; Methanobacteriati; Methanobacteriota; Halobacteria. The record is from RNAcentral.
GGACUCCGAGUGUGAGGGCAUAUAGCCCUCGCUUUUCUGUACCGUAAGGUGGUACAAGAAUAAGGACCGGGCAAGACCGGUGCCAGCCGCCGCGGUAAUACCGGCAGUCCAAGUGAUGGCCGAUAUUAUUGGGCCUAAAGCGUCCGUAGCCUGCUGUGUAAGUCCAUUGGGAAAUCGACCAGCUCAACUGGUCGACGUCCGGUGGAAACUACACAGCUUGGGGCCGAGAGACUCAACGGGUACGUCCGGGGUAGGAGUGAAAUCCUGUAAUCCUGGACGGACCACCAAUGGGGAAACCACGUUGAGAGACCGGACCCGACGGUGAGGGACGAAAGCCAGGGUCUCGAACCGGAUUAGAUACCCGGGUAGUCCUGGCUGUAAACAAUGCUCGCUAGGUAUGUCACGCGCCAUGAGCACGUGAUGUGCCGUAGUGAAGACGAUAAGCGAGCCGCCUGGGAAGUACGUCCGCAAGGAUGAAACUUAAAGGAAUUGGCGGGGGAGCACCACAACCGGAGGAGCCUGCGGUUUAAUUGGACUCAACGCCGGACAUCUCACCGGUCCCGACAGUAGUAAUGACAGUCAGGUUGACGACUUUACUCGACGCUACUGAGAGGAGGUGCAUGGCCGCCGUCAGCUCGUACCGUGAGGCGUCCUGUUAAGUCAGGCAACGAGCGAGACCCGCACUUCUAGUUGCCAGCAAUACCCUUGAGGUAGUUGGGUACACUAGGAGGACUGCCGCUGCUAAAGCGGAGGAAGGAACGGGCAACGGUAGGUCAGUAUGCCCCGAAUGGACCGGGCAACACGCGGGCUACAAUGGCUCUGACAGUGGGAUGCAACGCCGAGAGGCGACGCUAAUCUCCAAACGGAGUCGUAGUUCGGAUUGCGGGCUGAAACCCGCCCGCAUGAAGCUGGAUUCGG